Quercus lobata is the source of this 529-nucleotide long non-coding RNA. RefSeq lists it as uncharacterized. The transcript has 3 exons. Lineage: Eukaryota; Viridiplantae; Streptophyta; Magnoliopsida; Fagales; Fagaceae. The record is from RefSeq and is a predicted model, not a curated record.
ACAAAGAGAACCCAUAAACAGAGUCCUUCACCAUUACCAGAAAGUUUUCCUCUUUGCUUUUUGGGUUAUCGUUCACUUCGGAACAACUACCGGUUGAUUUUGAAAUAUUAGAGGAUGACUUUGAAAGGACUAGAGAGCUUUGUCAAAGACUUUUGGACCAAUUAAAGCACUUGAAGGUUGCCUUUGUCAAUACAUGACAAAAAGAGGGAGAAAUAGAUGAAAUUUGUGAAUCAUGUUUAAAAGGUUUUUAAAAUGUUUUUAUUUAGGGAGAGAUGAAAUUGUUUAUGAGAGGAGGAGAAAAUAAAAGUUUUUAUGUAUCUAAAUCAGAGGGAGAAUUAUUUUACAUAUUUGUUAUCAUUGUAAUUCAUAUUGUUUAUCUGUAUUUAUUUCCACACAUGCGUUGAUAUGCUCUUUUGAGUGUUUCAAGAAAGACAGAUAUAUUCCGAUCAAGACCUUCUGCCUCUUCUUGCAACUUCUGAGUUAGAAGUACUAGAUUGAAAUUUUUGAUGUAUUUAGGCAUUUUAUUGUA